UACCAUUGAACUAUAAAUAAACUGGAAGGCUAACUGCUAUGAUGAAGGCCUAUGAUUUGAUGAAGCCAAAAUAGUUUUUCUGAGUUAUGAGCAGAAAUACUUGACCCCAAACGUCGUGCUAUAUAUCAAAUUGAAGCCAUUGAAAAUUGCUAUUCGGUGUGGAAAUUUCAAGACUUCAGCGAAAAGAAAAAUAUUUAAAAAAUACAAAAACAACUGCAAAACGGCAAAUUAUCGGUAAUUAUGUUUGUAGUUUUUCAAUAUUUCCCUUUUAGCUAAAGUCUUGAAAUUUCUACACCAAAUAGCGUUUUUCAAUAGCUUCAAUUUGAUAUAUUACCCAACGUUUAGUGUUGAGUAUUUCUGCUCAUAACUCAGAAAAACUAAAAUACACUGGCUUCAAUUUCCCCCCCUGAGUUAGCCUUCCAGUUUAUUUAUAGUUCAAUGUACAGUACAAAUUUACAGUGCGUCUACUGUAAGUGGGGCCACUUAGAGAACACUAACCAAUCGCAUUGCAGAACAGAAAGAAAAAUCUAAUCAAACUAAAGCUCGUCCAAUCAAAAGAAAGAUUCAGGAAGCC
Paramuricea clavata is the source of this 574-nucleotide non-coding RNA. Lineage: Eukaryota; Metazoa; Cnidaria; Anthozoa; Malacalcyonacea; Plexauridae. The record is from the annotation of a GenBank genome assembly.